This 572-nucleotide ribosomal RNA is filed under the name uncultured crenarchaeote. RNAcentral's name for it is "bacterial SSU rRNA". It matches the Rfam family "Archaeal small subunit ribosomal RNA", at positions 371 to 945 of the family's 1478-position model. Lineage: Archaea; Thermoproteati; Thermoproteota. The record is from RNAcentral.
ACAGGCUAUCCCGAGUGCUGUCCGCUGAGGAUGGCUUUUACCCAGUUUAGCAAGCUGGGAGAAUAAGGAGAGGGCAAGUCUGGUGUCAGCCGCCGCGGUAAUACCAGCUCUCCGAGUGGUGUGGAUGUUUAUUGGGCCUGAAGCAUCCGUAGCUGGCCAAGUUAGUCCCCUGUUAAAUCCACCGAAUUAAUCGUUGGUUCGCGGGGGAUACUGCUCGGCUAGGGGACGAGAGAGGCAGACGGUACUUCCGGGGUAGGGGUGAAAUCCUAUAAUCCCGGGAAGACCACCAGUGGCGAAGGCUGUCUGCUAGAACGCGCCCGACGGUGAGGGAUGAAAGCUGGGGGAGCGAACCGGAUUAGAUACCCGGGUAGUCCCAGCUGUAAACUAUGCAGGCUAGGUGUUUGGGCGGCCACGCGCCGCUCUAGUGCCGCAGGGAAGCCGUUAAGCCUGCCGCCUGGGGAGUACGGCCGCAAGGCUGAAACUUAAAGGAAUUGGCGGGGGAGCACCACAAGGGGUGAAGCUUGCGGUUUAAUUGGAGUCAACGCCGGAAAUCUCACCGGGGGCGACAGCAG